UCUUUUUUUUCUUUUUUUCUUUUUGAAGAGAGCAUAAAGAGGCAUACUUGCUUUUGGCUUCUCUUUAGACACUGUUCUUUAGAGUCAAAGGCUUAUGUUUCUCCCUUCCUUCAAAGCUAAUCUUGCGGUUUAUGUCUAUCUGAUUAUCUCCUGAAAUUGAUGGAUUAGCUGUUGAUAUGAACCUUAUUGCUUCCUCUUGAGGUACUUCUUUUGAUUCAGGUGCAUAUCUUGGUUUUUGUAAUUUUAAUUAACUUGAUUGUUUGUUUUGAUCAUUUCUAGUUGAUUGUUUUUGUCUGGAUUUGCUAUGGAUCUCUUUACCUUUGUAUAUGUUGCACAGGUUUGAUUGUUGAGAUUUCUGCUAUGUUUUUCUUGAUAGUUUAUUUCUAAUUUCAAUUUUUGAUUGAACACAGCAGUCUUCUUCUUGUUGGAAACAGUUAUUUAUGCUUUCAAUUAUACAAGUUCUGAUCUUUCUUUGUACUCAUAAUUAACAGAAUCAAAAUGGGAUGAUGUGUUGAAGAUAUCCUUUUUAAAUUGCAUGCUCGUUACAUGGGUGAAGACUGAAGGGCAGAAUCUGUUUCAUGCUUCUUCUUCUUCUGAAUAUAUAAUGAAGCAGAGUUUGUUUGGAACAACUGCCUUUAGCAUGAAUUAGGAUAUUGUUGAUGAUAUAAUAGUCCAUGCUUGUGCCUUCACAGAGUUACAGAAUUGAUAUUAAAAUGAUGGAACAAAUUUUACAUUUUAGUGAAUGUGAUCUUUUCAUAAGCUUUGUGUCAAACUUUGCAUCUUCAGCUUGAAUAUGAAGUAUUGCCUGUAAGAAAUUUCUUGUUCAAUCAAUUAAAUCAAAGAAUUAGGCCUAGGGUCAAGACGAUAGGCCUUGAUUAAGUACCUGAACUUCAUUGAUCCCAAUCACUUGACUGAAGCAUUGGAAUUGAAACUCUUUCCUAUAAACAUUCCUUGAAUCUAGCAUCCAAAUUUUUUGGCAUAUCAGAGAGCUUUUAAGAUUUCUUCCCUUACAAAUCCUUCCAAGUAUUGUUCUUGAUAUGUGCAUAUAUUUGGUUUUCUUCCAUAAGGGCAAUUUAGAAAAGUCUCCUCAAAUCUUCUUUUUAUCCUUGUAUAUAAAUUUCCGGACAGUCACAUUCUCCAUUGUGUCUAUGUUUCAGUUCUCUCUCUCUCUCUCU
RNAcentral lists this unclassified non-coding RNA (1175 nucleotides) under Hevea brasiliensis (rubber tree). The record is from RNAcentral. Lineage: Eukaryota; Viridiplantae; Streptophyta; Magnoliopsida; Malpighiales; Euphorbiaceae.